RNAcentral lists this ribosomal RNA (797 nucleotides) under Glaciibacter sp. RNAcentral's name for it is "bacterial SSU rRNA". The record is from RNAcentral. Lineage: Bacteria; Bacillati; Actinomycetota; Actinomycetes; Micrococcales; Microbacteriaceae.
UGCAGUCGACGAUGAUGCCCAGCUUGCUGGGUGGAUUAGUGGCGAACGGGUGAGUAACACGUGAGUAACCUGCCCCUGACUCUGGGAUAAGCGUUGGAAACGACGUCUAAUACUGGAUAUGAUCACCGGCCGCAUGGUCUGGUGGUGGAAAGAUUUUUUGGUUGGGGAUGGACUCGCGGCCUAUCAGCUUGUUGGUGAGGUAAUGGCUCACCAAGGCGACGACGGGUAGCCGGCCUGAGAGGGUGACCGGCCACACUGGGACUGAGACACGGCCCAGACUCCUACGGGAGGCAGCAGUGGGGAAUAUUGCACAAUGGGCGAAAGCCUGAUGCAGCAACGCCGCGUGAGGGAUGACGGCCUUCGGGUUGUAAACCUCUUUUAGUAGGGAAGAAGCGACUGAGUUUACUCUGAGUGACGGUACCUGCAGAAAAWGCACCGGCUAACUACGUGCCAGCAGCCGCGGUAAUACGUAGGGUGCAAGCGUUGUCCGGAAUUAUUGGGCGUAAAGAGCUCGUAGGCGGUUUGUCGCGUCUGCUGUGAAAUCCCGAGGCUCAACCUCGGGCUUGCAGUGGGUACGGGCAGACUAGAGUGCGGUAGGGGAGAUUGGAAUUCCUGGUGUASCGAUGGAAUGCGCAGAUAUCAGGACGAACACCGAUGGCGAAGGCAGAUCUCUGGGCCGUAACUGACGCUUAGGAGCGAAAGCAUGRGGAGCGAACAGGAUUAGAUACCCUGGUAGUCCAUGCCGUAAACGUUGGGCGCUAGAUGUAGGGACCUUUCCACGGUUUCUGUGUCGUAGC